This is a long non-coding RNA of Chinchilla lanigera (long-tailed chinchilla), 782 nucleotides long. RefSeq lists it as uncharacterized. The transcript has 4 exons. Lineage: Eukaryota; Metazoa; Chordata; Mammalia; Rodentia; Chinchillidae. The record is from RefSeq and is a predicted model, not a curated record.
GUGUCGGGGUGCGAGGCGUCACAGCUGAACAGGAAGUCGGCGACGGCCGGGUCACUGACCGUCCCUCCCUCCGCCACUGCGGAGGCAAAAGCACAGGGUCUAGCUCAUUGAUUGGUUAAGAGCCAAAGGCGGGAGAGGCCUUAGGCCAACAGAAGAGGCGUGGUCGCUAUUGCACAGAACUGACGUGCGACGUUGUAGGAAGAGGUCGCUCAGACUGGAACUGAUGCAGUUUGAGAAACUCCAAGGACACGUGCUCCUGCAGGUGCACCUUGUCCUCCUGGAAACUCCGUGAUGGGCACAGGUGUUACUGAGGCCAGCAGGGGGUGAUGGGGACCCAUCCCACCAACGCGGCGCAGCCUGGGGAACGCCGGUGCAGGAACGUGCUUGACUCGAACUCACAAACUCGCGCUCGCCAGGCAGGAACUUACGCCACUGAGCUACAUCCCCAGCCCUUCCUCUGCCUUGUUGUUAAGUACAGGUUACCCUAAAAUGUGCCCGAAGGGUGAAGGGGGCCGCGGUGACGGGGCGUGACCUUGGGGAGCGUAUCUGUCCCUGGCCCUUCCUUCUCUGGCUCUUUCACUCUCACCCUCUUUCUCUCUCUCUUGCUGCCAUGAGGCAAGCAGCUUUUCUAGGCCAGGCCCUCCGCCAUGACCUUUUUGUCUCACCACACACCGGAGGCCGUGGAGCCAGACAACCAGGAGCUGAAACCAGGAGCUAAAACAAACCUUUCCUCCUUUGUGUAUCUCAGGCAUUCUGAGAGGAAAAAAAAAGAAAGCUCACCU